GAUGAACGCUGGCGGCGUGCUUAACACAUGCAAGUCGAACGAUGAAGCCCAGCUUGCUGGGUGGAUUAGUGGCGAACGGGUGAGUAACACGUGAGUACACUGCACUUAACUCUGUGAUAAGCCUGGGAAACUGGGUCUAAUCCCGGAUAGGAGCGUCCACCGCAUGGUGGGUGUUGGGAAGCUUUAUCGGUUUUGGAUGGACUCGCGGCCUAUCAGCUUGUUGGUGAGGUAAUGGCUCACCAAGGCCACGACGGGUAGCCGGCCUGAGAGGGUGACCGGCCACACUGGGACUGAGACACGGCGCAGUCUCCUACGGGAGACAGCAGUGGGGAAUAUUACACAGUGGGCGCAAGCCUGAGGCAGCGACGCCGCGGUAGGGAUGACGUCCUGCGGGGUGUAAACCGCUUUCAGUAGGGAAGAAGCGAAAGUGACGGUACCUGCAGAAGAAGCACCGGCUAACUACGUG
This 466-nucleotide ribosomal RNA is filed under the name uncultured bacterium. Its description in RNAcentral is "partial 16S ribosomal RNA". It matches the Rfam family "Bacterial small subunit ribosomal RNA", at positions 28 to 507 of the family's 1533-position model. The record is from RNAcentral.